CUGCGCAUUUCCUGCACAGGGGGUGUUGGAAAUACACAUGUGCAUAUCUUCUUUUUUGGGAGGAGGGGGUUAUUGUGGUAAAAUACACAUAAAAUUUACCAUUGUAACCAUUGUAAAGUGUACAAGCCAGUGGCAGGAACUACAUUCACCAUGUUGUGCAGCCGUCACCAUUAUCUUGUUCCGGAACUUUUCAUCACUCCAGAUGGUCACCCUGUGUAUAUCCUUUCAAUUUCAGCUCCCCCUUGAGCUCGGGGUUCCCCGCUCUGGGUUGUGAGCAGGUAGGGUCAGCCCUGUACCACAGUGGCUAAUAUUGCUGCUUUCUUUGUAGGAUUGCUGAGGUCUUUGAAAACUGCCUUUCAGGGAAGGUUUCAGCUCGUCCCCAUACGUAUUCUAACUGGAAUAUUACCAUCAGCAGAUUCCUGAACCGAAGCUGCUGUUGAUGCUGCUGAGGCCCGUGCCCUGGAGCCUUGUGGGGAACAAGUCCUCUGCCGUUUGUGUGCCAAGGCAGGGCUUUGCUCCUUUUUGAAUCCCCUAACUUGCUCAGGGAUGUUCCCUUAAGUUGUAGGUAAUACCUGCAUGCCUGCUACCCUACCCGUACCACCUGAAAUCGCAGCCAAAACAAUAGUUCCACCCCAUCUGCCUGUAGAUAAGCCACAUGGAUUCCAGGCUAGUCUCUUCAUAACUGCCUCCUUAGCCUGGAGGAGAAGUUGAAUAACAGGACAGCUGACCUAGUGCUGUCUACCUAGGCCUGGCAAUAACCACUUAAAGCUAGAACCUUUAGACCCACAAAACCUAAUGCCUUGCCAGUUAAAAGGCCUAAUAUUCUCUCUUUCACAAUGGGUUUGCCGCCAGAACAUAGGUGUCGUAAACACCACAACUAAAAGCCAAAAUGGGAAAGGACAGGCCUCAUAUCAACAUCGUCAUCAUUGGACAUGUAGGUUCCGACAAGUCUACCACUGCUGGCCCUCUGACUUACAAGUGUGGUGGGAUUGACAAAAGAACUAUUGAAAAAUUUGAGAAGGAGACUGCUGAGAUGGAGAAGGGCUCCUUCAAGUAUGCCUGGGUCUUGGAUAAACUGAAAGCUGAACAUGAAUGUGUGUCACCACUAAUAUCUCCCUGUGGAAAUUUGAGACCAGCAAGUUUUAUGUGACCAUCUUUGAUGUCUCAGGACACAGAGUCUAUAUUUAAAAAACCAUUCUGUAAAUGGUUACAGGCACAUCUCAGGCUGCUUGUGCUAUCCUGAUUGUUGCUGCUGGUGUUGGUGAAUUUGAAGCAGGCAUCUCCAAGAAUGGGCAGACCCGUGAGCAUGCCCGUCUGGCUUACACACCGGGUGUGAAGCAGCUGAUUGUUUCUGUUAACAAAAUGAAUUCCACUGAGCCCCCCUAUGGCCAGGAGAGAUAUGAGGAAAUUGUUUAGGAAGUCAGCACCUGCAUUAAGAAAAUUGGCUACAACCCUGACACAGUAGCAUUUGUGCCAAUUUCUGGUUGGAACGGCGACAACAUGCUGGAGCCAAGUGCUAACAUGCUUGGUUCAAGGGAUGGAAAGUUGCCCAUAAAGAUGGCAAUGCCAGUGGAACCACGCUGCUUGACGCUCUGGAUUGCAUCCUGCCACCAACUGGUCCAACUGACAAGCCCCUGCAGCUUCCCCUCCAUGGUGUCUGCAGAACUGGUGGCAUGGGUCCUUCCCUGUGGGCCGGGUGGAGACUGGUGCUCUCAAACCCGGCAGGCGGUGACUUUGCUCCAGUCAGUGUCACAGCUGAAGGGAAGCCUGUUGAAAUGCACCGUGAAGCUUUAAGGAAAGCUCUUCCCGGGGACAAUGUGGGCUUCAGUGUCAAGAACAUGCCUGUCAAAGAUGUUCAUUGGGGCAAUGUGUCUGGUGACAGCAACAAUAACCCACUAUCGGAAGCAGCUGGCGUCACAGCUCAGUUGAUUACCCUGAACCGUCCAGGCCAAAUCAGUGCUGGAUACGCACCUGUGCUGGGUUGUCACCCCUCACGUUGCUUGCAAAUUUGCUGAGCUGAAGGAGAAGAUCGAUCGUCAUUCUGGGAAAAAGCUGGAAGAUGGCCCAAAGAUUUUGAGAUCUGGUGAUGCUGCCAUUGUUGGUAUGGCUCCUGGGAAGCUCAUGUGUGUUGAGAGCUUCUCUGACCCUCUGGGCCGUGUGGCUGUUCGUGACAUGACAGACAGUUGCUGUGGGUGUCAUCAAAGCUGUGGACAAGAGGGCAGCUGGAGCUGGCAAAGUCACCAUGUCUGCCCAGAAAGCUAAACGCAUUUUCCCCCAACACCUGCCACCCCCAUCUUGCUCGGUGGUGGAAGAAAGGCCUCAGAACUGUUGGUCUCAACUGGCCAUUUAAGUUGAAUAGUAAAAGACUGAUUAAUGAUUAAUGCGUCGUAAAACUUUCAGAAAGGAGAAUGUUUUGUGGACCAUUUGGUUUUUAUGUGUGUGUGGCAGGUUUUUAGUUUAUUAGUUUUUUAAAAAAGUACUUUUAAAUGGGAACAACUUUACCAAAAAAUCAGUCACAGAAUUUUA
RNA transcript from Myotis brandtii (Brandt's bat), 2526 nucleotides. It is a transcript of the gene named elongation factor 1-alpha 1-like, with no coding region annotated. The transcript is spliced from 3 exons. NCBI's taxonomy places the organism in Eukaryota, Metazoa, Chordata, Mammalia, Chiroptera, Vespertilionidae. The record is from RefSeq and is a predicted model, not a curated record.